AACGAACGCUGGCGGCAGGCCUAACACAUGCAAGUCGAGCGCGCUCUUCGGAGUGAGCGGCGGACGGGUUAGUAACGCGUGGGAACGUACCCAGAUCUAAGGAAUAGCCACUGGAAACGGUGAGUAAUACCUUAUACGCCCUUCGGGGGAAAGAUUUAUCGGAUUCGGAUCAGCCCGCGUUAGAUUAGAUAGUUGGUGGGGUAACGGCCUACCAAGUCUACGAUCUAUAGCUGGUUUUAGAGGAUGAUCAGCAACACUGGGACUGAGACACGGCCCAGACUCCUACGGGAGGCAGCAGUGGGGAAUCUUGGACAAUGGCGCAAGCCUGAUCCAGCCAUGCCGCGUGAGUGAUGAAGGCCUUAGGGUCGUAAAGCUCUUUCGCCAGAGAUGAUAAUGACAGUAUCUGGUAAAGAAACCCCGGCU
Molecule: ribosomal RNA, 423 nt
Filed under: uncultured bacterium
Lineage: Bacteria
Description: bacterial SSU rRNA
Rfam family: Bacterial small subunit ribosomal RNA
Source: RNAcentral